AAGAACCUACCGAAAGGUGAUGUACACUCAGACGAUCUGCAAACAAUGCUGAUUAAGUCUGCUGAAUCAAUGAUCG
RNAcentral lists this transfer RNA (76 nucleotides) under Klebsiella phage vB_KpnS_Uniso31. Its description in RNAcentral is "tRNA-Ile". Lineage: Duplodnaviria; Heunggongvirae; Uroviricota; Caudoviricetes; Demerecviridae. The record is from RNAcentral.